GACGAAGGGGGCUAGCGUUGUUCGGAAUUACUGGGAGUAAAGCGCGUGUAGGCGGUUGCCCAAGUCGGGUGGGAAAGCCUUGAGCUCAACUCAAGAAAUGCACUCGGUACUGGGUGACUAGAGGACCGGAGAGGAUAGUGGAAUUCCCAGUGUAGUGGUGAAAUACGUAGAGAUUGGGAAGAACACCAGUGGCGAAGGCGGCUAUCUGGACGGUUUCUGACGCUAAGACGCGAAAGCGUGGGGAGCAAACAGG
RNAcentral lists this ribosomal RNA (253 nucleotides) under uncultured bacterium. RNAcentral's name for it is "partial 16S ribosomal RNA". It matches the Rfam family "Bacterial small subunit ribosomal RNA", at positions 524 to 776 of the family's 1533-position model. The record is from RNAcentral.